RNAcentral lists this ribosomal RNA (339 nucleotides) under Triticum aestivum (bread wheat). RNAcentral describes it as "partial small subunit ribosomal RNA". The record is from RNAcentral. Lineage: Eukaryota; Viridiplantae; Streptophyta; Magnoliopsida; Poales; Poaceae.
AUGCUCUCCCUGCUACUCAUGGUACCAGCGAUGGUGCUCUUCUUCCUGCGCGCCGCCGGCAGUGGCAGCGAGGUCAAGAAUGAUGUGGAGGGUCGCGUCCGUCGGUGGCCGCUAAUCUGGCACGCGUCUGUGGCGUUCUUCCACUUGGCGCUCUUGGUGGGACUCAUCGGGCUCGUUCUUCAAAUCUGUGGCGGGUCUCAAGAGGUUUCUUACCUUCUCCGCAUUGCGGCUGUGCUGUGCAAGCUCCUACUCACCGUGCUCUUCUGCAUCCGUGCUGCUGUGGCGCUGUGGAGGAUGAAUCCUCAACAGCCGGCCGCAGUUGGUGCUGCGGUAGUGUGA